Long non-coding RNA from Oreochromis aureus, 661 nucleotides. Lineage: Eukaryota; Metazoa; Chordata; Actinopteri; Cichliformes; Cichlidae. The record is from Ensembl.
UGCAGACAGUCUUCAUUUGGACGGCUACACCAUGUUCAAACGCAACAGACAUGUGUCCUACACAAACUUUCCUCACAUGGCCAGCAGAAGUGGUGGUGGAGUUGUUGUGUAUUUGAGGAAUCAUUUUCAGGUUCAGGUAAAACAGUAUCUGCAUAAUGUCACUGAUCUUGAGUUUUUAGUGUUGAAGGUUCAGGCUCCAUUCCCUGCGCUCAUUGCUGUUGUGUACAGACCUCCAGACUACAGUUUGACACCGUUCAUGCAAAACCUGCCACAGCAAAGUCUUCAUUCAGGUGUCCUGAGAACAUAUUACAGUUACCACAACCCUGUGUUUUGUGUCCUGUCCUUGAGCCAAUCAUGAAGUCGUCUGCUGAAACAACAACAUCUUAACCCCAUCUUCAUGAACUGCUGAGCCAAACCUGAUCCAUCAGUGCUGGACUGCACAGAUAACUACAUGCCACAAGGAGACUGCUGUGUUAUGAACUGCCAUACCAGUGUGUCUUCAAUGGAGAAGAUGACACACCCAUCACCUGACCUCCUGCCUGAUCUGGAGACCAUCAUCAUGCUGCCACACUACACACCUCUGAGACCAUCAAUGAUGACUCAUACUGAGGAAACUGUAUUUCCUGUCAGAGAUGCUCAGUGAUCCUCAGAGCAGAGAGAG